This 494-nucleotide ribosomal RNA is filed under the name uncultured bacterium. RNAcentral describes it as "partial 16S ribosomal RNA". It matches the Rfam family "Bacterial small subunit ribosomal RNA", at positions 28 to 507 of the family's 1533-position model. The record is from RNAcentral.
GACGAACGCUGGCGGCGCGCUUAACACAUGCAAGUCGAACGGAAAGGCCUGCUUUCCCUUGUGGAUUGCGGGUACUCGAGUGGCGAACGGGUGAGUAACACGUGAGUGAUCUGCCCCCAACUUGGGUAUAAGCCCGGGAAACUGGGUCUAAUUCCCGAUAGGACUGCAGGGUGGUGCCUGUGGUGGAAAACGAUUUUCUAGUGGUUGGGGAUGAGCUCGCGGCCUAUCAGCUUGUUGGUGGGGUAAUGGCCUACCAAGGCGGCGACGGGUAGCCGGCCUGGGAGGGUGGACGGCCACAUUGGGACUGGGAUACGGCCCAGACUCCUACGGGAGGCAGCAGUGGGGAAUAUUGCACAAUGGGCGGAAGCCUGAUGCAGCGACGCCGCGUGGGGGAUGACGGCCUUCGGGUUGUAAACUCCUUUCGACCGCGAGGAAGCCACCUGGUUGGAAGGGUGGUGACGGUAGUGGUAGAAGAAGCACCGGCUAACUACGUG